Molecule: long non-coding RNA, 2644 nt
Filed under: Podarcis lilfordi (Lilford's wall lizard)
Lineage: Eukaryota; Metazoa; Chordata; Lepidosauria; Squamata; Lacertidae
Source: RNAcentral
CACAGGUCUAGGAUUGUUUUAAAGUUUGGAGAGGGUGCCUUUCAGGGAAACCCAGGAAUAUGUACACAUACAAUAACUUACUGUUCUUUCGCAAGUUUGAUGUGGCUGUGACUUAGCCUAUUUUUGUAUCUAUUUUGGAAUACCAGUGUGUUUGUACCACUAUUUGUGUUGUUGAAAACAAAAAUUGCCCUUUUCCCCUUAUGGGAUAUCCAAGAGCCCAUAUAGAUUCCUUACAUAGGUUCCCUAUUGGUAGGAGAAGAUAACAGAGGCCAACCAGAGAAUAUUGAGAAGCAAAGCAGCUAGUAAGCUUGAUCUUUAUUGAUCUGUUGCAACAGGGUGCUCCCCUCACCCGCAGGAGAGGAGGAGGAACCUAGAAAAAUGGCGCACAAGGCCUUAUAAAGUCUUUUGAAAUUGCCACCCUGUAGAUCAAGACCACCCCCAGAAACAUCAUACAUACAUCACAGAAGGGGUGUAACCUAAGACCACCCAUCAGAUACAGUGGUGCCCCGCAAGACGAAUGCCUCGCAAGACGGAAAACCCGCUAGAUGAAAGGGUUUUCCGUUUUUGAGUUGCUUCGCAGGACGAAUUUCCCUAUGGGCUUGCUUCGCAAGACGAAAAUGUCUUGCAAGUCUUGAGAUUUUUUUUUCGCUUUUCCCCCCCUUUAUCUAAUCUGCUAAGCCUUUAAUAGCCUUUAAUAGCCUUUUAGCAGCUAAUCCGCUAAGCCUUUAAGCCUUUAAUAGCCGCUAAACCGCUAAUAGCGCUAAUCCGUUAAGCCGCUUAUAGGGUUGCUUCGCAAGACGAAAAAACCGCUAGACGAAGACUCUCGCGGAACGGAUUAAUUUUGUCUUGCGAGGCACCACUGUACAUCAUACCUACAUCACAGAAAACGCAGUCUUAAAACAGAAAUUUGAAUGUUGUUUUUCUCCUGUUGUUGUUUAUCUGCUGUCUGGCAGGCUACUUGAUUGGAUUGCCUGGGGAGCCUGGCCAGUCUUCUGUAAUAAUAAAUACUUAGUUCCUGGGCCAGGUCACAGGCUCACACCCAAUUCAUAUCUUAAAUGUGCCCUUAAGACAGGAUUUGUGAGGAAAGAGACAAUGGGGAGGUUUCCCACUUUGACCUUGAAGAGAAAACAUUUGCUCAGUUUAGGAAUCAAAAUGUUUCCAUGUUGGUCUUCCUGCGCUGCUCUAUGUACGUGCUUGGUUGGUACGCUUAUGAACAUAACCAUAUAUCUAAGACCUCAAAAUUCCUAUCACAGUGUAUAGAAAUGUAAGCAAGUAAUGAGUUCAAUCUGGAUUGAUUAAGAGCUAAAAGAUUAUGUGGAGAUAAGGGAUUUAUUAACGGAUUGGUUACAGUUUCACCAAUUAAAUUAUAUUUUUUAAAUACAGUGGUACCUCAGGUUACAUACGCUUCAGGUUCCAUACACUUCAGGUUACAGACUCCACUAACCCAGAAAUAGUACCUUGGGUUAAGAACUUUGCUUCAGGAUGAGAACAGAAAUCGUGCUCUGGCAGCGCGGCAGCAGCAGGAGGCCCCAUUAGCUAAAGUGGUGCUUCAGGUUAAGAACAGUUUCCGGUUGCAGUCGUGAAAUAUCAAGAUUUCAAAAAGAUCUGCUAGAAAAUAAUGCUAAAUUACUGUCCAAAAUGUAUAGCUUACUUUUAGAGUGGCAUACAAAAGAUGAACAGGUCAAGUCAGUAAUGAUACACUGGGCAAAGGAUCUGGGACAUAAUAUUCAGAUAGUAGAUUGGGAAACGUUAUGGAAAACAGAUUUGAAAUUUACGGCAUGUUAUGCUUUGAAAGAAAACUAUGAAAUUGAUGUACCGGUGCUAUUUAACCCCUACCAAGUUGGCAAAAAUGUAUAGGACAACUACAAAUACUUGUUGGAAAUGUAAAGAAAAAGAAGAUACUUUUUAUCAUAUGUGGUGGACUUGUAAGGUAAUAAAAGCUUUCUGGGAGAUGAUGUACAAUGAAAAUGUUUAAAAUAGCUUUUGUUAAGAAACCAGAAUGAUUUCUAUUAGGAAUUACAGAUACUAAUAUUCCAAAGGAAAAGAAGAGACUCUUUAUGUAUGGAACAACAGCUGGCCAGAUGUUAAUAGCUGGAUGGAAAGAGGACAAGGUCCCUACCAGAGAGGAGUGGCAAACCAAGCCGAUGGACUAUGCCGAGAUGGCAAAACUGAAUGGAAAACUCAGAAACCAAGGGGACAAAAACUUUAUGAAAGAAUGGGGGGGGGGGAUUAUAAAUUAUUUAGGAGACCACUGUAAGCAGAUGGAAACAUUAGCAGGAUUUUAAUCUCACUUGUAGUUUAAAAAUUACCAUGGAUAAUAUGGUUUGAUAUAAAAAUUGAAGUAUGAAAGAAUAUACAGUAUUAAAUGUUAAAAAUGGGACCCCAUGGAAGGGAUGGGGGGAAGUCCUGAGAUUCGGAGGAAUCUAUAUGAAUAUACUUUUUGAUUUUUUUGUUUAUAACUUUGUAUUUGAGAAAACAAUAAAAAUGAUUUCAAAAAAAGAGAGAGAAAGAGCUGCUCUGUGGGGUGGGGUGGGAGAGCAGGUUAGGGGUAUUGCUUUGUUCCUACUUUGUACCUGAGCUGACUGUUGUACAAAACUCAGUGGAAAUUAUCUGAAAAAAACAAAAAACAAAAAUGCAAUCUCAG